Non-coding RNA from Camelina sativa (false flax), 733 nucleotides. The record is from RefSeq and is a predicted model, not a curated record. NCBI's taxonomy places the organism in Eukaryota, Viridiplantae, Streptophyta, Magnoliopsida, Brassicales, Brassicaceae.
UCGUGCGUAUGCGUAUUGUUACUUUUGCAAUGGUGUUUUUUUGUCUUGGUGAGUAAAUGUUUUGUGAAUGGAGCUUUUAAGUAACCUACUUACGAAGGCUUAUUGGUUCAUGUGUAUGGAGGUUUACUCGUGACAAAAGAUCGAAACUUGUUCGAAAGAUUACUAAAAUUCUUCUAAACAAAUUCGAAGGUCCCUUCUACAGGUAGACAUGUGUGCCGCGGGAAAAACAACAGAGAUACAUCCUUGAGUUUGCGAAAACCCACACAUGGGAUCCUUUGAUAACGGGACUGUUCAAGCUUAUUUUGAGGAAAUCUGUCAAAAGCGGAUCAAAGACAUGGUUAGCACUGUGAGGACUAGUCGAGUUCAACCAAACUGGAUUUGAAACACUCUCUGGAGAACGAUGGAGGAUUACUGGACACUGAAGAAGCACAACAAAAGAGUAAAACCUACUCUGAUGCCCAUAUGUCUGACCGUAACGGCCUAGGUCCUCACGUCCACCUCUCAGGGCCAAAGUCGUAUUGACAGCUUCAAGACGAAAUGGUUGAGGAAUUGGGAAGAGAAGUUCGACUUGGUGAGGUUUUUAUCAAGGCACAUACAAAGCCUGAUAGUACAUAUGUUGAUUGGAAGGCAGAGAAGAUUGCAGAAACAAAUGAGAAGACUGUUCAAGAGAGGUUGUCUCAGCUCGAGGCAGAGUCUUUUGCUGUGUCAGAUGGAGAAUCACGGCCACGGGACC